Molecule: ribosomal RNA, 300 nt
Filed under: uncultured bacterium
Lineage: Bacteria
Description: bacterial SSU rRNA
Rfam family: Bacterial small subunit ribosomal RNA
Source: RNAcentral
GCGUGGAGGAAGAAGGCCUUCGGGUCGUAAACUCCUGUCAGGUGGGAUGAAAAAGUGUCGGUCAAUAGCCGGCUCUCUUGACAGUACCACCAGAGGAAGCCCCGGCUAACUCCGUGCCAGCAGCCGCGGUAAUACGGAGGGGGCGAGCGUUAUUCGGAAUCAUUGGGCGUAAAGGGCGCGUAGGCGGCUCCGCAAGUCAAAGGUGAAAUCCCUCGGCUCAACCGAGGAACUGCCCUUGAAACUGCGAGGCUUGAGGCCGGGAGGGGGUAGCGGAAUUCCCAGUGUAGCGGUGAAAUGCGU